GUUCACUUUGGCAGUACACAUACUAAAAUUGAAAUAAUCCAGAAUAGAUACAUCAACAUUACCACUGCACAAGGAAGACAUACAAAUUCUUCAAGCAUGUCAUAUUUUA
Grammomys surdaster is the source of this 109-nucleotide small nuclear RNA. The record is from RefSeq and is a predicted model, not a curated record. Lineage: Eukaryota; Metazoa; Chordata; Mammalia; Rodentia; Muridae.